UACGUAGGGUGCAAGCGUUGUCCGGAUUUAUUGGGCGUAAAGAGCUCGUAGGCGGUCUGUCGCGUCGGAUGUGAAAACCCAGGGCUCAACCCUGGGCCUGCAUUCGAUACGGGCAGACUAGAGUACGGCAGGGGAGACUGGAAUUCCUGGUGUAGCGGUGAAAUGCGCAGAUAUCAGGAGGAACACCGGUGGCGAAGGCGGGUCUCUGGGCCGAAACUGACGCUGAGGAGCGAAAGCGUGGGGAGCGAACAGG
RNAcentral lists this ribosomal RNA (253 nucleotides) under uncultured bacterium. Its description in RNAcentral is "partial 16S ribosomal RNA". It matches the Rfam family "Bacterial small subunit ribosomal RNA", at positions 524 to 776 of the family's 1533-position model. The record is from RNAcentral. RNAcentral also lists the same sequence under 1 other name.